This 605-nucleotide ribosomal RNA is filed under the name uncultured bacterium. RNAcentral describes it as "bacterial SSU rRNA". The stretch from base 1 to 522 matches the Rfam family "Bacterial small subunit ribosomal RNA", at positions 338 to 873 of the family's 1533-position model. The record is from RNAcentral.
CCUACGGGAGGCAGCAGUGGGGAAUCUUGCGCAAUGGGCGAAAGCCUGACGCAGCCAUGCCGCGUGAAUGAUGAAGGUCUUAGGAUUGUAAAAUUCUUUCACCGGGGACGAUAAUGACGGUACCCCGGAGAAGAAGCCCCGGCUAACUUCGUGCCAGCAGCCGCGGUAAUACGAAGGGGGGCUAGCGUUGCUCGGAAUUACUGGGCGUAAAGGGAGCGUAGGCGGAUAGUUUAGUCAGAGGUGAAAGCCCAGGGGCUCAACCUUGGAAUUGCCUUUGAUACUGGCUAUCUUGAGUAUGGGAGAGGUUAGCGGAACUCCGAGUGUAGAGGUGAAAUUCGUAGAUAUUCGGAAGAACACCAGUGGCGAAGGCGGCUAACUGGCCCAUUACUGACGCUGAGGCUCGAAAGCGUGGGGAGCAAACAGGAUUAGAUACCCUGGUAGUCCACGCCGUAAACGAUGAGUGCUAGUUGUCGGCAUGCAUGCAUGUCGGUGACGCAGCUACGACAUUAAGUACACUCCGCCGUCGGGAGGUACGGUCGCGAGAUAAACUACAAAGAAGUAGACGCGUGAGACGUCGCCGACGGACGACGACGAGGGAGGUUAGG